AGUGAACGCUGGCGGUAGGCCUAACACAUGCAAGUCGAACGGCAGCACAGUAAGAGCUUGCUCUUACGGGUGGCGAGUGGCGGACGGGUGAGGAAUACAUCGGAAUCUACUUUUUCGUGGGGGAUAACGUAGGGAAACUUACGCUAAUACCGCAUACGACCUACGGGUGAAAGCAGGGGAUCUUCGGACCUUGCGCGAUUGAAUGAGCCGAUGUCGGAUUAGCUAGUUGGCGGGGUAAAGGCCCACCAAGGCGACGAUCCGUAGCUGGUCUGAGAGGAUGAUCAGCCACACUGGAACUGAGACACGGUCCAGACUACUACGGGAGGCAGCAGUGGGGAAUAUUGGACAAUGGGCGCAAGCCUGAUCCAGCCAUACCGCGUGGGUGACGAAGGCCUUCGGGUUGUAAAGCCCUUUUGUUGGGAAAGAAAAGCAGCAGGUUAAUACCCCGCUGUUCUGACGGUACCCAAAGAAUAAGCACCGGCUAACUUCGUG
This 492-nucleotide ribosomal RNA is filed under the name uncultured bacterium. RNAcentral describes it as "partial 16S ribosomal RNA". It matches the Rfam family "Bacterial small subunit ribosomal RNA", at positions 29 to 507 of the family's 1533-position model. The record is from RNAcentral.